UUGAACAACUGCUUGUCUUGGAGCUUGGUAUGCAUGGGAUCGGAUUCUUCAAACAAGUCUGGAAGGUAAAGCCUUGUGUAGAUAGAUUAAUCACCCUUUCUCUCUCUAUUUUUGAAAUAUAGAUUAAAAAUAUUAUUAUUAUAUAUAUCUAUUAGAGAUUUAUUAGGAAAGAAUUCGAACAUGACUUGGUGACUACAACCAUUAAGGCUUGCUUCAUAAGAAUUCUAUAAGUAAAGGAUUAGAACAGGACUUGGUGGCUACAACCAUUAAGGUUUGCUUCACAAAUAAUCCUAGGAUAUAGGUCAAAAAGAAGUGAACAGAACUUGGUGGAAACCAACAUUAAGACUUGAUUCAUGGAAGCCUGUCCAAUCUUAGUCAAUGAUCUUGCUAAUAUAAGCAGAUUUUGACUAAGAGAGAAAAUUAGUAGAGAGACAGGAUAGGAACUAGUGUUUACCUGAAGGUCCAGAUACUUGUUUGAAAGUCUUUGCAUUGUGUGAUCGAUACCCCCAAAGUAAAACCUACACUUUUAUUUAUGCUAAGAAAUGAGGUUGGUAGAUGGGAAUGUCAGACAAGAUUUGCUAAGUUGUUGGCUAGAUGAAUUUGGUUGCUAAGGUAGGAUAUGGUAUAAUGUGCUUUUGUGAUUAGGACUUCUUAGAUGUGGAUUGCAAUAUUGUAGACGUGAUGAUUCUAAGUUUUAAAUCAUGUGAGUCUCUGCUGUUUUAAAUCUCUUUUAGAGGGACUGCCUAUUUCUUUUGCUUGAGGACAAGCAAAAGGGUAAGUCUGGGGGAGUUGAUAGACUAUGGAUUUGACCCAUUUUCCUCCAUAGUUUAUAGGUGUUUUUACUAAUAAUUAUUAUAUUAUAGAGUCAAUUUAUUAUAUUUAUAAGAUCAGGAGUAAUUUGGAGAUAAGUGAUGCUUUUGGAGCAUUUUGGAGAUAUUUGGAGCAAGCACCUGAGAUGACCAUCGAGCUCGACCAUCGGUUGAUAUUGAAGAUGAAUAAUCGAUCGAUGUUCAUAUCUUGACAUCGACCGACAGCGAAGCGCGCAUAAAGCUCGUUUGGUCACAGCCGACUUGAAGCCCAAGUCUUCACCAGUUUACAAGAUUACCCCUGACGAGUUUAAACUUAAUUAUAUAAGCUUUGCCACCAAGUUAGAGGCAAAUUGUGCUUUCUUGUUUUAUUAUUUUCCCAGCAAGGUUUUUAGGAUCUUGAUAGAUUGGAGAGAAUAUCCAAAUUUAUAAUUUGUGAUUGGAACUCCAUUAAUAUCUAUUUACUAUUCUAAUGAAGUUUUCUUACCUAACUGAUUUUAUGAAUUGCUUAGCGAUGUCUGAGUAGUUCAAUUGUUAGAUUUUAGGGUUUAACUAGGUUAGGAGUGAUUAGCCCCAACUAUAGAUUGUUGAGUUGUGGUAAUUGUCAUUAGGAUUGUUCAUUAAUGCAUGUCUCUAGAUUAGCUACCUAUAACUUGCCCUAGGAUUGAUAGAUAAAAGCGAGAGCUUCAUUCUCAUCCUGAAAACAUUCUAACUGAGCUAAGUUUCUUGCUAUGAGUAAGGCGACAGCUGAUCUAGUGAGCUUAGUAAGCUAUUAUUCAACCCGCGCAUAAAGCUUAACAAGAAGCGCGUCGAUCGAUAUCAUUAUUGAAUAAUCGAUCGACGGAGUGAAAGGAUCGAUCGAUAUCCCUAUAGGAUCAUCGAUCGACACUUUCUAAUUGAUCGACAUACGAUAGUUGAGAUCAUUAGAUCUAGUUAAUAGACAAGUCCAAACAUGCGAAAGCUGAUAGACUUGUUGACUAAGUAGUUGAGCUUUAUAUUAUCAUGGAUGCAACUCAUUAGGCAUCUGAUAGGAUUAUAAUCCCAAAUUUCCUGAAUAAAAACCCUAAGUCUAGCUAUUUCCUUUUAAGCACCAAAACCUUAACCAAUCAAUUGCGCAAACACUUGCUUGAUAAAAACUGCAAUUUACAUUUACACCAUUAAACAUCAUGCUUAACAAAUCAUAUUAGAUUUCUUAGGUUCCCUAGCUUCUUGUGAAUUCGAUCCCUAAGUACUACAACUCGGCCUCUUAUUUGAAAGAGUAUAAAUCACUCCUUAGGGUAAUUUGAGUUGUAUCAGAAUGUGUUCUUUACUUCAAUCCAGCAUGUAAAGAUAUCCUUGUGGUAACUGCUUGAGCCAACUUGUGAGUACUUGAAGAGCUUGAAAAGAAGAUAGUCCUCAGGGACUCUAUUGCCUUUAAUGAUAGAAACCAAAUCCUCAAACCGCUGUAUAUGGUCCAUAGGAUGUUCAUGUUGGCGUAGUAUUGAUCUGGAGGGUUGUAGCCACCCAACAUUUUGGGUCGAGCAACUUGCACAUUAUCAUCACCCACAACCUGAGCAUCGACUGUAAUGGUAUCAACAUCAAGAUCAUGGAUUACAGCCCCAUGAUCAUCUAACCUCUGACAUGCUGCAUUACGCAGAUGACCCUCCUGGUCAUGUCUCCAUUCUCGUCUUGCAUCAGAACAAAAGUCGCAACCUUGUCUCGCGGACAGAUGUCGAUCGUCGGUGGCUCACAAGUGUCGGUCGACAGAUCUGAGUUGUUGUUGAUCGAUAUGGUGCGUCUCUCUUUUCGGAUCGUGCGUUCUAAGUGUGCGGGAUCUGAGAAUAGCAGCGAUUUUUCCUUGUUGCUUCUGGUACUGUUGGGCAUGCACCUGAAAGAAAUCAAGAAAAACAAUUAUGAGAAAAACCAGUAACAAUAAAACCUAGACUAAAUCUAACUAAUAAGAUCUAAUGGCGAUCGAAGCUCCCCGGCAACGACACCAAAUUUGACAUUACUCGAAUUACCCCAAAGAGUGACCUGUACUCUCUCAAAUAAGAGGUUCAAUCGUAGCACUUAGGGACCGAAUCCACAAGGAGCUAAGCCAAACAAUAGAUCCUCAUCUGUUUAUGAUUAAGUUAGGCAAACAGAGUAAUUAAUAAAGAGCAAAGGUGAACAAGGUAGUUGUACAGUUGAUUCAUUGAUUGGUUGAGGUUGUAAACAGUUAUGAGAAAUAUCUAAAUUUAGGGUUUCAGGAAAUCAUGAUUAUAGUGAUAUAGAUACUAAGGUUUUCAAUCCUAGAACUCGAAUUCUAUUUGCAAAGUAUUCCAGCUUCCUCUUGCGAAUAAAUCCUAUUGACUAAGUCCAGUAUCUUAGUUGUCGCUUGUUGAUAUGGUUCCAACGUCGAUUGAUUCUAUGAGAUUAGGGUCAAUCGAUGUUUACCUAGGCAAGCUUUAGCGAGCUGUUCGAUAGGUUCACUAGUAUUAACUAAAUCAGUCGUCGCUUGUUUCUAGAAAUCCUAGCUCAAGGAAAAUUAAUUCACGUAAAAGACCAUGCCGUCGAGUGCGCCUUAUUAUCCUAAGUUCACGGUUCUAGUUAGUUACUCUCAAACACAAGCAUUACAAGCAAUUCCUUGAAAGAAAUCUUUAUCACCUUAGUGUAUCUAUAUUUUGGACUAAUCCCUCAUAACCUUACUCUAAACCCUAAAUCUAACAAAGGUAACUACUCAUACACAGCAAAGCAGAACAUAGCAAAAUUUUGAAUAGAAUGCAUAAAUACAAUAAGGAAGAAAAACUGAAGUUCCAAUACAAAGCUCUGAGGGAGUCUUGGAUCUUCUCUCGAAACUACUAAAAACCCUAAAUAUGUUGAGAUGUGAAAAAAAAUUAAGUAUGAAAGCGUGUGUUGCCAAGAACAAUGGCAGAGCACAUAAAUAUUAGGUAAAGUCAGCCAAUGGUGUUUCUGUAAUUGAUGUGGAACUUGGACCAUAAGUCGGCUGGAAACCAAGUCGGGCCUUGCAUGCUUCGUCGAUCGAUAUUUGACUCUGAAUGUCGAUUUUAGACUAGUUCGAUGGACAGCUACAAGUUUCUUCUAACUUUAUCCCAAAAUGCCGGAAAAUUACCACAUAUCUCCAAAACAUUUUGGACCUGUAAAUACUCUAAAAAAACUCCAAAACAUAAUAAAUAACUCCUAAAACAUCUAUAUACCAUGGCUAAAAAAUGGUAAAAUCCAUGGUUUAUCAAGGGGGUCUCAUGUUCAAGUGUUAAAGCUGAAUAUAAGACCGUGAGGAAGCUCACAAAUUAGUUCACUUGGCUCAAGGAUCUUCUCAAGAACUUAGGCAUUGAGUCAGCAAACCUAAUCACAUUGGAUUGUUAUAAUAAGCAACCAUCCACAAUGCAUCUAAUUUGGUGUUCUAUGAGAAGAAAAACACAUUGAAGUGAAAAAUUAUAAGAGGCAGAUAUGGUUCAACAAAAAGUGGAUUUUGUUAUACAAGAAGUUCAUAUCAGCUAGCUGACAUCUUUACCGAGGAAACAAGUUCAAAGGUAUGUGAGAAAUAGAUCUAUCUCAUCCCGUAUCUUUUAAGCCAUAGAGCAUAUACUCUUUUUCCUUUAGUAUAGUUUUGUCCUAUGAGAUUUUCUGUACGUCAGUUUUUAAUGAGCUGAAUCUUCAUGGAUCCAUGUUUAACCUUUAUGUCUCUAUGGUUAAGUUUGAGCGGGAGGUUUAGACCUAUUAACAAAACAAAAAAAAACCUUGAAGAAACGAAGAUUAACCGUUCAUGUCCAUACACGAGUAUGUUUUGGUCCACAAAAAUGUUUCGCCAGUUUCUAUGUGUUGACUAUAAGUGUCCUAGUCUUCUAAAAGGACUCCUAGCUGUUGAAAAGAAGAAAGAGCUGUUCGUGACUAAGACAACAAGAGUCACAUAUCUCCCUAAUGAUUUAAAUUCUAGGGAAGACAAUUAGGACAUGCCACUCAAACCCAUUUGUCCUUUAAAUAGCAUGUAACCAGAAAUCUAUUUGAAUUAAGGAAAUAUUAUCCUCUCUUCUAAUAUUUCUCUUAGUCUCUCACAUGUCUACUCUCUCUUCUCUCUUGACAGGUUUCUUCCUUCACCUAUGUUCUCCAUUCUUCUUCACUAUGAUCCGCAAAUUUUAACAACAGGGACUAUAGUGGACUGUUAUGGCCGACCUUCUUGAUGAAUAGAACGAUUUUUAUGAGCAAUUUGGAACAUUU
Molecule: long non-coding RNA, 5003 nt
Filed under: Brassica rapa (field mustard)
Lineage: Eukaryota; Viridiplantae; Streptophyta; Magnoliopsida; Brassicales; Brassicaceae
Description: long non-coding RNA (BRAP_LNC004968)
Source: RNAcentral